AACAAAUUAGUUGUACCCAUUACAUUUCGUCCUGAAGGAUUUGUAAGAUACUUUGAAGCUGCGUUUCUAGCCUAGGAAUGGGAAAGGAAGAUGAUGUCGGUGGUUGUGGUGGUGUUGUCUGUCCCAACUUCCAACUCAGAGACGGUAAUUGGACCAUUCUGGUUACGACCCUACGACUUACCAGUACAUGCCUUAUAUUGAAAUGGAAAAAUUUGAGUAUCCCAAGGCCAUGGGUUAGGCAGGGUUCUG
This 249-nucleotide unclassified non-coding RNA is filed under the name Hevea brasiliensis (rubber tree). The record is from RNAcentral. Lineage: Eukaryota; Viridiplantae; Streptophyta; Magnoliopsida; Malpighiales; Euphorbiaceae.